RNAcentral lists this non-coding RNA (197 nucleotides) under Bacillota bacterium. RNAcentral describes it as "Firmicutes bacterium (anaerobic digester metagenome) 6S RNA". It matches the Rfam family "6S / SsrS RNA". From Rfam's summary of the family: E. coli 6S RNA was the first non coding RNA to be sequenced, but its function was unknown until recently. It consists of 184 nucleotides that fold into an extended hairpin structure with a large single-stranded internal bulge. RNAcentral also lists the same sequence under 1 other name. Lineage: Bacteria; Bacillati; Bacillota. The record is from RNAcentral.
ACGGCCCUGCCGUGUUCGUGGUGAAGCUACCUAACGUGAUGAGCCAACACCAUCACAUGGGGAGCUCGGGCUCUGCGGGCGGAGGGCAGGCUGCCGACGCCUUGGGUGGCAGUAGCCCGCAAACCCGCAGGAGGGCACCCACCUUGCAGAGCGCCGGGUUCAUCCACGGGUAGCCCCAGCGGCACGGCGGGGUUUUU